UGGGGAAUAUUGCACAAUGGGCGCAAGCCUGAUGCAGCCAUGCCGCGUGUGUGAAGAAGGCCUUCGGGUUGUAAAGCACUUUCAGCGGGGAGGAAGGCGGUGAGGUUAAUAACCUCAUCGAUUGACGUUACCCGCAGAAGAAGCACCGGCUAACUCCAUGCCAGCAGCCGCGGUAAUACGGAGGGUGCAAGCGUUAAUCGGAAUUACUGGGCGUAAAGCGCACGCAGGCGGUCUGUCAAGUCGGAUGUGAAAUCCCCGGGCUCAACCUGGGAACUGCAUUCGAAACUGGCAGGCUAGAGUCUUGUAGAGGGGGGUAGAAUUCCAGGUGUAGCGGUGAAAUGCGUAGAGAUCUGGAGGAAUACCGGUGGCGAAGGCGGCCCCCUGGACAAAGACUGACGCUCAGGUGCGAAAGCGUGGGGAGCAAACAGG
Molecule: ribosomal RNA, 429 nt
Filed under: Chloroflexota bacterium
Lineage: Bacteria; Bacillati; Chloroflexota
Description: Chloroflexi bacterium partial 16S ribosomal RNA
Rfam family: Bacterial small subunit ribosomal RNA
Source: RNAcentral